This is a non-coding RNA of Pyrgilauda ruficollis (rufous-necked snowfinch), 495 nucleotides long. The record is from the annotation of a RefSeq genome assembly. Lineage: Eukaryota; Metazoa; Chordata; Aves; Passeriformes; Passeridae.
UUAGACCUCCUCAUCCUCCUCAUCCUUCUCCUGCUGGCCUUGCCAGGGCUCCGGGCGGCCGUGACCCUGCUGGAGUCCGGGGGGGACCUCCAGCCCCCCGGGGGGUCCCUGCGCCUCCUCUGCCGAGGGUCCGGGUUCAGUUUCGGCAGUUUUGGGAUGGCCUGGUAUCGCCAGAGACCCGGGCAGGGGCUGGAAUUUCUGGCAAGGAUCCACAGGGAUGGUGGUUUCAUCGAGUACGCGCCAUCGUUGAGGGGCCGGGUGACGAUCUCCAGGGACAACGGGCAGAGCUCGGUGACGCUGACCAUGAACAGCCUCAAGGACGAGGACUCCGGUUCCUAUUUCAGUGCCAAAUCCACGGGGGCUUACACGGCUGAUCCUGGUCGUAGUGAAAGUGACAGUUCUGGCCCCACCCCCUCUCGGAGUGCCCCCUGCCCCCCCAACUUUCGGCCAAUUUUGGCCAUUUCACCCAAAUCUCCCCUGGCUCCCAGGCCCUGA